UUUUUUUCCGAAUCAGAAGAGUUGAAUAAGAGCUUGGCGUUGAUUUUCAUAGUUGGAAACUGCAAGUGGUCUCUCUACUCUUAGGUGCUAAUUAGCAAUUCUAGAUUACCAUUGCAUUUAUGUUGUGCUCAGGCCUCAGGGCAACAAAAUUAUAACCUCAAUCAUGCAUUUUGAUUGAUGAAUACUUGUGCUGCUGAUGAUUGCAAGCUGCAAGAUGUUAAUAAAGCACUGGACCGUCUUACAAAGUCAAAAGAGGCAGCUUUACUUGACGCUGAGAGAACCGUGCAAAAGCUUCUAUGGUGGAUGACCUUCAGAACAAGAACCAAGAGUUGAUGAAACAGAUAGAAAUAUGCCAGG
Molecule: long non-coding RNA, 357 nt
Organism: Capsicum annuum
Lineage: Eukaryota; Viridiplantae; Streptophyta; Magnoliopsida; Solanales; Solanaceae
Exons: 2
Source: RefSeq, a predicted model, not a curated record